This 95-nucleotide transfer RNA is filed under the name Streptomyces flaveolus. Its description in RNAcentral is "tRNA-Ala". Lineage: Bacteria; Bacillati; Actinomycetota; Actinomycetes; Kitasatosporales; Streptomycetaceae. The record is from RNAcentral.
GGGUAGGUGCGCCGGGCCGGGGCGGGCAUGUGGGCGCGCAGCUCGCGCAGGACGGCGUACCGGUCGGCGUCACGGAUCAUGUCGGUGUCGAUCCA